Molecule: long non-coding RNA, 1409 nt
Filed under: Rattus norvegicus (Norway rat)
Lineage: Eukaryota; Metazoa; Chordata; Mammalia; Rodentia; Muridae
Description: long non-coding RNA NONRATT020048
Source: RNAcentral
ACAGGGUACCCCUGAAGUCCUGUAUAGGACUCAAUGCUGAUGUGGCAUCUGCUGUCCUGGAGCAUAGAGGUCAGUCUUCUCCCCCUGACACCUCCCAGGGCAUAGGAUAUAGGGUUUGGGGGAAGAGGUCCAGGAAAAGUCUGCAGGCAAGUCUGUCUGUCUGUCCUAGGCUCCUACUGUGCCCCAGCUGAGCUAAGGAGGCAUGAGUUUCUCAGAGGAGGUAGUAAGAUGGCAAUGAAGAUUAAUAGAGGAGACCCAGGUACCUCUUCCUUCUGAGGAGUCCCCACACGUGUUCAACACCCACACUGGGGCCUAGGGUGUCCGGUGUCCCUGGAAGUGAACGAAUUUGGGCCACAGGUUGCUGAAUUUUGCUUGUCUGUGAGGGGCAUGACUCCAGCGUGCAUUGGGAAGCACCAGGAAAUGGGGUAGAGAAAAAGGGUUGCACCCUAGGAAGGAGGCCCACCAAACAUUCAGAGGUACCUGGGUUUUAACAUUUGUUCAGGGCUCUGUCUUGGAUGCUGACCUUGGAGCCCUGGCUGUCAAAGGAUGCUGGGUCCAUCCCACGACCCAUCCUGAAGUUCCCCUGGUGUCUAACCCUCCGUCAGAGAAGGGAUAGUUCCCAGGCCGUUUUUCUGAGACUCUCAGGCAGGAGUGCACAUCGCUAAUACCGCACAUCCAACUGGGACCGGCUUUUACAGAGUUGUUGCCUUAAUGUAGGUUGAGGGAAAUUCACCAAGGUCACCCCUGCCUCUGCCUGAUACAGACACUGGACUCCACCUCCAGGUCCUGCUACUGGAGAGGAGUGCGGGCAUGAUGAGCUGCCACUAGUAGUCCCACAUGGAGGGGCUCAAAGCUGUGACCCCCUCGAUGUCAUCUAUCUGCCUGGGAUGGCUCCAUAUGCAGUGCAGCGCACCCCGCGCUUCCAGUCCACACCUGCCCAUUGCGGUCCUGUCCCCCCCUGGCCGCAGCUGCGGCUGCAGCUUCCCCAUCUGCGCUGUUGCCUUUGGCUGUCUUUGCACUUUUGUUCAUGCUCCAAAGAAUAUUUCAUAAUGCCUUCAUACUGAUGUGCACCCCAACCAUUUUGUACGCGCCCUUGGGCCACAGCGACUGGCCUUCUCCUUUGGGCCGGCGUGCCGCCAUCUGCACACGACGCUGUCUUCUAGGGAUAGAUGCCCAGGGAAUGAACUCUAGUUUUCUAACGGACUAGCUGAGAUGUUAACUUACUCAACAUGAACAGGAUGAUAUCUGUGCUGUGUGGGCGGGCCAACGUGUGCCCGCAGGGAACUUUGGGGCAGAAUCCUGCAGCAAGGGUGCAUGGAGGUGGUUCUGGAAAGUUUUGCUGCUGCAGGGCUAAGUUCAGACGCCCAGUGGAACUGGGCGCUUAGUAAAACACAGUGAUUCAACCUGGA